RNAcentral lists this long non-coding RNA (1672 nucleotides) under Lactuca sativa (garden lettuce). RNAcentral's name for it is "long non-coding RNA (LSAT_LNC005725)". The record is from RNAcentral. Lineage: Eukaryota; Viridiplantae; Streptophyta; Magnoliopsida; Asterales; Asteraceae.
CCGCACCCGAUGUGGUGAUGGGUAUGAUUCGUUCCCUCUAUCUUAUUUUUAUGAUGUUAUGUUAUUGAUAUGUGCUCUGUAUGUAUAUGUAUGUAUUAGGAUCGUUCCAUGUGAACGGCCUCCCAGUUCAGGUGUUAUUUGAUUUGGGUGCAUCCCGAUCAUUCGUUUCCCUUGCGCUUAGCAAGAAGUUUCAUGAGUCAUCGGGCGAGUUAGAUUGCCCUUUGGAGGUGGAGAUUGCUGACGAUCGAUCGGCGCGAGCAUCGAUGGUAUUUCGAGAUUGCGUGAUGUGUUUGUUUAAGGAACGCUAUUUGGUAGAUUUGGUUCCCAUUCCGUUGCGUGGGAACAAGGUGAUUAUAGGCAUGGAUUGGCUGAGCCCUAAUGGGGCGGUGAUAGAUUGCGCGCAGCAGCUAGUGCGGGUCAGGACCCCAAGCGGGGGGGAGUUAGUGAUUCAUGGAGAGAGGCCUCAGUGUGGACCCACUGUAUGUUCAACUGCGAGGGCUAGGCGCUACCUUCAUCAGGGAUGCGCAGGUUAUGUCGCGUAUGUGAUGGAUACCCGGGAGACGGGUAAGGCGACAGUGAGCGAGGUUCCGGUGGUCCGAGACUUUGCAGACGUUUUCCCAGAGGAGCUUUCUGGGAUACCUCCGGAACGACAGGUAGAGUUCAGGAUUGACCUUGUUCCUGGCGCGGCUUCGAUAGCCAAGGCGCCGUAUCGGUUGGCUCCUCCCGAGAUGCAGGAGUUGUCUAGGCAGUUGUAGGAGCUGCUAGACAAUGGAUUUAUUCGGACAAGUAGUUUACCAUGGGGAGUGUUGAUCCUAUUUGUGAAGAAAAAGGAUAGGAUUCAUCGGAUGUGUAUUGAUUAUCGGGAGCUAAAUAAGCUAACGUGAAAAACCGUUUCCCGCUCCCAAGGAUCGACGAUUUAUUUGAUCAACUUCAGGGUGUAUCUUGGUUUUGCAAAAUAGAGUUGCAUUCGGCUUAUCACCAUAUGAGGCUCAGAGAGGAGGACAUGCAGAACACAAUCUUUCAGACUCAUUAUGGUUAUUACGAGUUCGUAUUGAUGCCAUUUAGGCUCACAAAUGCUCUAACCACAUUCAUGGAUCUCAUGAAUCUCGUAUGUAGGCCCAUGUUGGAUUGGUCUAUGAUUGUGUUUUUAAUAUCAUCCUGGUCUAUUCCAAGACAUAGGAGCUACAUGAGAAGCAUCUGAGAGAGGUAUUGGAGAUACCGAGAAGGGAGAGAUUGUACACAAAGUUCUCCAUGUGUGAGUUUUGGUUGCACGAGGUGCAGUUUCUGGGGCACCUUGUCAACCAGAACGGUAUUCUGGUCAAUCUGGCCAAGAUUGAGGCGAUGAUGACGUGGGAAAUUCUGAGGUCUCCAUUUGAGAUUUGAAGUUUCCUUGGUUUGGUAGGUUACUAUCGGAGAUUCAUUUNAUGGAGAGAGGCCUCAGUGUGGACCCACUGUAUGUUCAACUGCGAGGGCUAGGCGCUACCUUCAUCAGGGAUGCGCAGGUUAUGUCGCGUAUGUGAUGGAUACCCGGGAGACGGGUAAGGCGACAGUGAGUGAGGUUCCGGUGGUCCGAGACUUUGCAGACGUUUUCCCAAAGGAGCUUCCUGGGAUACCUCCGGAGCGACAGGUGGAGUUCAGGAUUGACCUUGUUCCUGGCGCGGCUCCGAUAGCC